RNAcentral lists this ribosomal RNA (338 nucleotides) under Menimus crassus. RNAcentral describes it as "partial 12S ribosomal RNA". The record is from RNAcentral. Lineage: Eukaryota; Metazoa; Arthropoda; Insecta; Coleoptera; Tenebrionidae.
GAUACCCUAUUAUUUUGAAUGUUAUUUUAGUCUUUAUUUAUUAAUAGGUAAGUUCUUUAAAAUUAAAAGAUUUGGCGGUAUUUUAGUCUGUUCAGAGGAACCUGUUAUUUAAUUGAUGGUCCCCGAUAAGCAUUACUUUAUUUUUAAAUUUAUAUAUCGUCGUUUAUAAAAAUUUUAUUAGGAUACUAAUUUUUAUUAUUUGUUAUUUUAUUUUAUUUCAGAUCAAGGUGUAGUUUAUGUUAAAGUUUUAAUGGGUUACAUUACUAUUAAGUGUGGUUUUUUGAUUUAAAAUUAAUGAUAAAUUGGAUUUGGAAGUAAAUUUUUGAUUUAUGAAAUUU